This 367-nucleotide long non-coding RNA is filed under the name Homo sapiens (human). RNAcentral's name for it is "non-protein coding lnc-RHOXF1-3:9". Lineage: Eukaryota; Metazoa; Chordata; Mammalia; Primates; Hominidae. The record is from RNAcentral.
AUGUCCCGUUUUCGAGGCUGCAGUAGCUCCGGUGUCCGGUUCUGCAGUGCCGAGAGGGAGGCCUCGGGCUCCGGGCGGGGGAAUGUGUUGCAGUUUGUCCAAGAGCCCCAAGCCCAGCAAAGCCGCCCGUUCCCCGCUGGGGCGCAACUCUCACUGGAACUCUUGUUCUCUGACUGGGGAAUGGAAUGGGCUCAGCCAAGGCUCCCGAAACCAGCCCUGCCGCUCCCAGUUGUGGUCGCAUUCUCAAGAGCGGCUGACUGCGCCGUGGACCAUCACUUUCGCUUCUGCCUGCUCUUGCGCCUAUUGCGGCAACUACUCACGCUCCUACGGGACGAGGAGAGGGAGGUGAAUCCGUGGCAGAGGUGAG